GGGUUCGGCCCUCGGCGGACUGCUCAGUAACACGUGGAUAACCUGCCCUAAGGUGGGGCAUAACCCCGGGAAACUGGGGAUAAUACCCCAUAGGUUAGAGAUGCUGGAAUGCCCUUUAACCCAAAGCUCCGGCGCCUUAGGAUGGAUCUGCGGCCGAUUAGGUAGUUGUUGGGGUAAUGGCCCAACAAGCCUGUAAUCGGUACGGGUUGUGGGAGCAAGAGCCCGGAGAUGGACUCUGAGACACGAGUCCAGGCCCUACGGGGCGCAGCAGGCGCGAAAACUUUACAAUGCAGGAAACUGUGAUAAGGGAACCCCGAGUGCCCGUAUACGCGGGCUGUCCAGGUGUUUAAAACGCAUCUGAAGAAAGGGCCGGGCAAGACCGGUGCCAGCCGCCGCGGUAAUACCGGCGGCUCGAGUGGUAACCGCUAUUAUUGGGUCUA
This 440-nucleotide ribosomal RNA is filed under the name uncultured archaeon. RNAcentral's name for it is "bacterial SSU rRNA". It matches the Rfam family "Archaeal small subunit ribosomal RNA", at positions 64 to 512 of the family's 1478-position model. The record is from RNAcentral.